UAGACCGUUUUGAUGUGUCGCCGAAUUGACUAGUAAAAAUGGUCUUAAAGUUAGCGAACAAAACAGACAUUGAUCUUUAAAAAAAAACUGCGUUACACAGGAUUACAAGCGGCCUAGGAUGCGUGCGUAACAAAAGUGUUAAGAAUCAGUACCAAGACCUGCAUCCUGAGCAUGAGGAGGCCAUUCAUCCAGACUCGGUCAGCAAAAAACCUGGCAACUGGAAACAGUACACUGACCUCACAUACUGCCAUGAUCAGAAAGGAAAACCUAAGAAAACUGAUGUGUUUGAUUCAGAGCAACUUACCAAAUAUCUUGAACAGAUGAACAUUCAGAUUGAAAGCAACGAUGAUAAUGCCUGUAGACAUGCCAGAUCCAUUUCGGAAGCCUUCAAAGACAUGCCUCCUCUGCAAACAUAAUAUCAAACUAGAUUAUAAGGUGUCCUGCCCUUCAUGAACAAGUCUGUGAAAUACUUGGAAGACCUGAUGCUGUUCAAUCCAUUUUCUACUGACGACUUCGACGUGGGCCUCCCUCUUGCGUGACCUGUAGAACAGUCUUUCACAGAGAGACGUGCCUGGUGACGUGUCCAAACCAAGCCAACUUUUGUCGUUUUGCGGACGCCAGUAGGGGGCUCUUGUGGAUCAACAAGAGUUGCUGUCAUGUAACUGAUGUACUCGUAGGUCUUGUGGUCCGUAUAGGAGAUACGGAGCAGUCUUCGGUGACAUUUAUGUUCAAAUGCUUGUAUCCUGCGUUCUGUGUCUGCGUGAAGCGUCCAGGUUUCGCAGCCGUAGAGUAAUAUGGAGACUACGAAGGACUUGAAGAAUCUGUACUUAGUUGGGAAACUGAUAGAACUGCUUGUCCAUUGCCUGCUCAAUCUGGCCAUCGCUCGGUUGCCAUGUCAAUCUUCAUUCGGACCCUUGGUCAUGGUUGCGACCAAGUCAUUGAAGCUGGUCACUUGUAACUUCUUGCCGUUCAUGGUGAUGUCUGUAAUGGUGUUGGUCGUGCUGUUCACCAUGAUCGUCGACUAAUCCGUGCUUACCUCCAUCCCGUAUGCUUUUGUUGUUUCAUAGAGUAUGUUGAUGAGAUCUUGAAGUCCACCCAUGAGGUCAAUGCCAUCAGCGAAUGCCAAGUUGGAGAUGAAUCUUCCAAUUUUCAAGUACAAGUUUGUCCAACUUAUGUACCGCUCCAGGUGAAACAUGUUUCAUAUACAUUUUAUUGACGAUUUUAUUUUAAAAUCAAUCGACGAUUUUAUUUUAAAAUCAAUCAGAUUGAGAGAUGUGAAUAGUGGUCCGCGAAAAUGUUUGUUCAAAUCAUUCCCCUGGGUCGAAAUGAGAACUGCCCAGAGAAUGAAAUGAUGUUAUGCUUGUGACAUCGAUAUAUGUUCUUUCCAAGUUUGCUCUAUUCCGGCAUCUGUGAUAUUUGGCAUUACAACGCCGAGAGGAGUAAUUAUAUUGUGUAUGAUACAAUCGUUACUGGCCAUCUACUGUUUUUCAUAUCAUUCUCCUAGUGAAUUAUUUUGAGCUAAGCCUAGAUUGUCUACUGGUUUAUAAUGACUUUUAUGUUAGUGUCUUCAAAUAUCUACCUUUCUGAAACUAAAAGAUCCAAAGCUAUGGUAUUUGUUGUGUAGUAUUAGGUAGUAUUCCUUUAAAACCUGUGUUAAAAUCAUGAAGUACUGGGGUACAUGAUAAAUAUAAAUAGUCUUUAUCGAUAUACCGACUGCAUUUUUUCUCCGAAUAAAGAUCUUAGCAUUCUCGAUAUUGAUCUCUCUUUACAAAAAUUUGUUGCCUCAUUGUAAAUGUGAUUAAAUCAGUGCAAUUCUUACUUAAUUGGCAUGUUCUUUAACCAUGGAAAUUAGGCUAACAUGCAUAUUUGUUUUGACAUUAAAGUAUUUAAAAAGUUCAAACGUCGAAAUAGGGCGUAUACUGUAAAGUACUCGUACAUUUUGUGUUUAUGAAGAGUUUUUGUGUUAAUAUGGCGAAAUGCUGCGUAUUAUGUAGCUUAGGUAUACUUUUUAUGUGUAUGGCGAGUUUAUGUGUUGAUACGGCGUAACAGUGAGCAUAAUGUGGCGUACUUAUACUUUUUUGAUUGUAUGGCGAGAUUUUGUGUUGAUAUGGCGAAAUAAUGCGUGUUCUGUAGCGUGCGUAUACAUUUUUUGUGCAUGAGGAGUUUUUCUAUUGUUAUGCCAUAAAAGUGUGUAUUCUGUAGCGUACAUUGUUUAAGUUUGACCAGUUUUUGUGUUAAUGUGGCAAAAUAAUAAACCGUCUGUGUAGUACUAGUACAUUUGGUAUGUAUGACGAAUAUUUGUAUUGACAUGGCGAAACAGUGCGUAUUCUGUAACGCAUUCGUUCAUAUGUUUUUUAUGAGGAGAAUAGUGCGCAUUCUAUGGCCUUCAUAUACGUGCAUUGUGUAAUAUAAUGGCUGAACAAGAGCGUAUUUUGAUGCCUUUCCAUAUAUCAAUUGUGAAUCCGCAUGGGUAUUUGUUUAUUCACAUUAUUCACAAUGCUUUGAUGGCAAAACAGUUUUUUCUGGGAUCCUCAUACAUAAUUAUGUACUUGUAAGAAUAUGCACUUAUUACUUAUACAAUGAUAUUGCGGCAAUACUAGAACUCUAUAGACAUGGGCAUAUACCUGACAAAAGAAGAGACCCCACUAUGCUCUGACAUGAAUAACCUUAGUUAUUAAAGUUGAAUAUGGCAUUGUUGUGUUUCUAUUGUUCUAUUAAUUACCGUUAUCUGGCCAAAUAAUCGAAGCAGAUUUCAAAUAUUGAGUUUGUGUUCCAAGUGUUAAUAUAACUUUAGAAAUAGUAUUGUUGGUCUUUGUUUUUAAUUUACUUCAACAGAAUUUAUCAAUGAUAAUUUUUAACAUGUCACUCUAUAUGCCUCGUCGCGCACUGUGCUGUCUGCUUGCCAUAAUAAAGAAUGAAUAUAUUG
This is a long non-coding RNA of Dreissena polymorpha, 2926 nucleotides long. RefSeq lists it as uncharacterized. NCBI's taxonomy places the organism in Eukaryota, Metazoa, Mollusca, Bivalvia, Myida, Dreissenidae. The transcript is spliced from 5 exons. The record is from RefSeq and is a predicted model, not a curated record.